This 460-nucleotide ribosomal RNA is filed under the name uncultured bacterium. RNAcentral's name for it is "partial 16S ribosomal RNA". It matches the Rfam family "Bacterial small subunit ribosomal RNA", at positions 338 to 795 of the family's 1533-position model. The record is from RNAcentral.
CCUACGGGAGGCUGCAGUGAGGAAUAUUGGUCAAUGGGCGUAAGCCUGAACCAGCCAAGUCGCGUGAGGGAUGAAGGUUCUAUGGAUCGUAAACCUCUUUUAUAAGGGAAUAAAGUGCGGGACGUGUCCCGUUUUGUAUGUACCUUAUGAAUAAGGAUCGGCUAACUCCGUGCCAGCCGCCGCGGUAAUACGGAGGAUCGGAGCGUUAUCCGGAUUUAUUGGGUUUAAAGGGUGCGUAGGCGGCCUUUUAAGUCAGCGGUGAAAGUCUGUGGCUCAACCAUAGAAUUGCCGUUGAAACUGGGAGGCGUGCGGAUGUGUGAGGCAGGCGGAAUGCGUGGUGUAGCGGUGAAAUGCUUAGAUAUCACGCAGAACCCCGAUUGCGAAGGCAGCCUGCCAAGCCAUGACUGACGCUGAUGCACGAAAGCGUGGGGAUCAAACAGGAUUAGAUACCCGUGUAGUC